RNAcentral lists this ribosomal RNA (190 nucleotides) under uncultured Lysobacter sp. RNAcentral describes it as "partial 16S ribosomal RNA". It matches the Rfam family "Bacterial small subunit ribosomal RNA", at positions 338 to 522 of the family's 1533-position model. Lineage: Bacteria; Pseudomonadati; Pseudomonadota; Gammaproteobacteria; Lysobacterales; Lysobacteraceae. The record is from RNAcentral.
CCUACGGGAGGCAGCAGUGGGGAAUAUUGGACAAUGGGCGCAAGCCUGAUCCAGCCAUGCCGCGUGUGUGAAGAAGGCCUUCGGGUUGUAAAGCACUUUUGUACGGGAAGAAAAGCACCUGGUUAAUACCCGGGUGUCAUGACGGUACCGUAAGAACCAGCCCCUCUACUUCGUGCCAGCAGCCGCGGUA